UCGGGGGUACACUAGCGGCGAACGGGUGAGUACCACGUGAGCAACCUGCCCCCGACUCUGGGAUAAGCCCGGGAAACUGGGUCUAAUACCGGAUAUGACCACUCCAGGCAUCUGGGGGGGGGGGAAAGUUUUGCGGUGGGGGAUGGGCUCGCGGCCUAUCAGCUUGUUGGUGGGGUGAUGGCCUACCAAGGCGACGACGGGUAACCGGCCUGAGAGGGCGACCGGUCACACUGGGACUGAGACACGGCCCAGACUCCUACGGGAGGCAGCAGUGGGGAAUAUUGCGCAAUGGGCGGAAGCCUGACGCAGCGACGCCGCGUGGGGGAUGACGGCCUUCGGGUUGUAAACCCCUUUCAGCAGGGACGAAGCGAACGUGACGGUACCUGCAGAAGAAGCGCCGGCUAACUACGUGCCAGCAGCCGCGGUAAUACGUAGGGCGCAAGCGUUGUCCGGAAUUAUUGGGCGUAAAGAGCUCGUAGGCGGUUUGUCGCGUCGGUCGUGAAAGCCCGCGGCUUAACCGUGGGUCUGCGGUGGAUACGGGCAGACUAGAGGCAGGUAGGGGAGAAUGGAAUUCCCGGUGUAGCGGUGAAAUACGCAGAUAUCGGGCGGAACACCGGUGGCGAAGGCGGUUCUUCUGGGCCGGUACUGA
Molecule: ribosomal RNA, 649 nt
Filed under: Actinomadura sp. SpC090624GE_01
Lineage: Bacteria; Bacillati; Actinomycetota; Actinomycetes; Streptosporangiales; Thermomonosporaceae
Description: bacterial SSU rRNA
Rfam family: Bacterial small subunit ribosomal RNA
Source: RNAcentral